Molecule: ribosomal RNA, 497 nt
Filed under: uncultured bacterium
Lineage: Bacteria
Description: partial 16S ribosomal RNA
Rfam family: Bacterial small subunit ribosomal RNA
Source: RNAcentral
GAUGAACGCUGGCGGCGUGCCUAAUACAUGCAAGUAGAACGCUGAAGGAAGGAGCUUGCUCUUUCCGGAUGAGUUGCGAACGGGUGAGUAACGCGUAGGUAACCUGCCUGGUAGCGGGGGAUAACUAUUGGAAACGAUAGCUAAUACCGCAUAACAGUAGAUGUUGCAUGAUAUCUACUUAAAAGGUGCACUUGCACCACUACCAGAUGGACCUGCGUUGUAUUAGCUAGUUGGUGAGGUAACGGCUCACCAAGGCGACGAUACAUAGCCGACCUGAGAGGGUGAUCGGCCACACUGGGACUGAGACACGGCCCAGACUCCUACGGGAGGCAGCAGUAGGGAAUCUUCGGCAAUAGACGGAAGUCUGACCGAGCAACGCCGCGUGAGUGAAGAAGGUUUUCGGAUCGUAAAGCUCUGUUGUAAGAGAAGAACGAGUGUGAGAGUGGAAAGUUCACACUGUGACGGUAUCUUACCAGAAAGGGACGGCUAACUACGUG